This 1356-nucleotide ribosomal RNA is filed under the name Triticum aestivum (bread wheat). Its description in RNAcentral is "partial small subunit ribosomal RNA". Lineage: Eukaryota; Viridiplantae; Streptophyta; Magnoliopsida; Poales; Poaceae. The record is from RNAcentral.
AUGCCGGCUCGCCUACUCGGCGGUGUUGGGCCUACUCAAGCAGUCGAGGAUCUCCGUCCUGGUGCGCACGAUGCGGUGGAACAUCUCGCGCACCUGCCGCUCGAGCGGGUCGAGCCCUUCCUUGAGUGCCUCGCACACCUGCACCAGCUCCUGCGCGGCCUCCCGCACCUCGGCGUCCUUCUCCUUGUCCAGGGGGAAUUGUGCGGCGUCGGUGAUCUCCAUGAGCUGCCGCGACCAACGCUCGAUGAGGUGUAUCUCCUUGAGCAGCCCGCACGAGUGCUUGCGGUCCUUCUUCUUGGACUCCUCGAGGACGCGCUCGUAGAGCGUGGUGACCGGGCCGGCCCAGGGGAAGCUCCUGGGCACGGCGAAGUGCGCCUGGAGGCCGCGGUCCUGGCAGGGGAUGGCGGCGACGAGCGCCCAGGCGGUGACGAAGAGCACGGAGCCCAUGGUGUACACGGCGGAGGCGAGGCCGCCCGUGGCGGCGACGUCGUUGGCGCGGGGCACCGGCAGGUUGCCCCCGAUGGCCUGCAGCUGGCGGGACGCGGACCAGGUGCGGGACACGCUCCAGGACAGCGACCUGAAGUGGGAGCCGCCGGAGCCGGAGCCGGAGCCGCUGCUGCUGCGGCGGUGGUGCCCCCGGCUCUGGCCCCCGGCGGCGUCCUUGCCGCCGUUACCCGUCCGGCCGAAGGAGCGGUUCCGCUGCCCCCCGCCGCCGGCGUCCUUGUCGUCGAGCAUGAGGAUGGUGAGGUCGGUGAGCGCCUUGCGGGCGCGGCGGAUCUGGCCCUCCCCGAGCGGCGCGGCGGGGUCGGACGCGGCGCCCUGCGGGGCGAGCGCGGCGGCGGCGAUGGCGAGGUGCUUGCGCCACUGGCGGAGCAGGUCGAGGCCGUCGCGGAGCGCGUUGCAGAGGUCGAGCGCCUUGACGGCGCGGUCGAAGAAGUCGGCGACGAGGCGGUCGAGCGGGGGGCGCGCGAGGGCCCCGGGGCCGCCGCCGAGGAGCGCGGAGCGGAACUCCUCGAGGCAGAUGAGGAAGGAGUCGAGCAGGUGCUGGGUCCACGCUAUCGACAGGAUCUCCGGCGGGGCGUUCUUGGCGUCGGCGGGGGCGGCGUCGGGGGAGCAGGGGAGCAGGUCGAGAAGCAGCUCGGCGGCGUGGCGCUGAAAGGCGUCGACUUCGCGGUCGGCGGGGGAGGAGGAGGGGUUGGCGGUGUUGGCGUGGUCGGGCGUGGGCGGGGCGGAGUGGAUCUGGCCGUGCUCGCGGUGGCGGAGCGAGAGGAUGUGGCGGCCGAAGGAGGUGUGGUGGUGGUGGUGCGCCGGCGAGGCGGAGGAGUCGGUGGCCGGCAUUGCGGGCGAGCGCGCUAG